This 513-nucleotide ribosomal RNA is filed under the name uncultured bacterium. RNAcentral's name for it is "bacterial SSU rRNA". It matches the Rfam family "Bacterial small subunit ribosomal RNA", at positions 28 to 535 of the family's 1533-position model. The record is from RNAcentral.
GAUGAACGCUAGCUACAGGCUUAACACAUGCAAGUCGAGGGGCAGCAUUGGAGUAGCAAUACUUCAGAUGGCGACCGGCGCACGGGUGAGUAACACGUAUCCAACCUGCCGCUUACUCGGGGAUAGCCUUUCGAAAGAAAGAUUAAUACCCGAUGGUAUAAAGAGUUCGCAUGUUCUCUUUAUUAAAGAAUUUCGGUAAGCGAUGGGGAUGCGUUCCAUUAGAUUGUUGGCGGGGUAACGGCCCACCAAGUCUACGAUGGAUAGGGGUUCUGAGAGGAAGGUCCCCCACAUUGGAACUGAGACACGGUCCAAACUCCUACGGGAGGCAGCAGUGAGGAAUAUUGGUCAAUGGACGAGAGUCUGAACCAGCCAAGUAGCGUGAAGGAUGACUGCCCUAUGGUUGUAAACUUCUUUUAUAAGGGAAUAAAGUGAGGGACGUGUCCCUUUUUGUAUGUACCUUAUGAUAAGGAUCGGCUAACUCCGUGCCAGCAGCCGCGGUAAUCUGUAGUCGUC